This is a small RNA of Penicillium italicum, 183 nucleotides long. It matches the Rfam family "A. fumigatus sRNA Afu_182". The record is from Rfam. Lineage: Eukaryota; Fungi; Ascomycota; Eurotiomycetes; Eurotiales; Aspergillaceae.
UCAUGAACAACGCAAAACUCACAUUCUACUCAAAAAGCGUUCCUACGAAGACUCGUCUGAUGAAGUACGGAAAUCGUAUAGAGAAUGGAGACCAAGUGCCAACUGGCAAAGGUGUCGAUCUUGGGUGCAGUGCCUGCUUGACCUCUGGUCAUGUAGUGGGGAUUGCAAUGAUUGAUUCUACAU